Molecule: ribosomal RNA, 439 nt
Filed under: uncultured bacterium
Lineage: Bacteria
Description: bacterial SSU rRNA
Rfam family: Bacterial small subunit ribosomal RNA
Source: RNAcentral
CUGAGGUGGCGACCGGCGCACGGGUGAGUAACACGUAUGCAACCUGCCUGUAAGCGGGGAAUAACCCGUUGAAAGACGGACUAAUACCGCAUAAUACUAAAUUACUGCAUGGUAAUUUAUUUAAACAUUUAUGGCUUACAGAUGGGCAUGCGCAUGAUUAGCUAGUUGGAGAGGUAACGGCUCCCCAAGGCAACGAUCAUUAGGGGUUCUGAGAGGAAGGUCCCCCCACACUGGUACUGAGACACGGACCAGACUCCUACGGGAGGCAGCAGUGAGGAAUAUUGGUCAAUGGACGAGAGUCUGAACCAGCCAAGUCGCGUGCAGGAAGAAUUGUCCUAUGGAUUGUAAACUGCUUUUGCAGGGGAAUAAAGUGCAUCACGUGUGAUGUUUUGUAUGUACUCUGCGAAUAAGGAUCGGCUAACUCCGUGCCAGCCGCCGC